UCUGAUCAACGAAAUGGUUUCACUCGGACUAAUUGCAACAGAAAUUGUUUUGAUUUAGUUUGGUUGUAUGUUGAGAGAAGUCAUCCCACAAAAAAGUUGCAAUCUUUAACUCAAGGGGAAACUGAGAUAUUGACCUUUCAAAACAUCGAUUUUCAUCAAUUCCGGCAAUUGCAGAUAUAGCCCACCAUACAAAGAAAAUAGUGAAAACUCUUCACAACGGAGGAAGAAAAGCGUCUUUGUUUAUCGGCGGCAACCAUUUGUAAAUUUUAAACUCGUGUAAACAUCAUCUUUUUGGACUCUUUUUAAGCUUCUUUGACGAGGAAAAGCGCAGAUCAUGAUGGUCAUCAAGUGUAAUUACAGAUGGAACAGAUUAAGAUAAUUUGGGAAUAUGCAGAGAGACAGAAAUAAAUGUCAUCAAAGCAAUGUUGAUGCGGCUGUACAUGGCCUGACGAAUUCGUAAGGUUAACCAAACA
This is a long non-coding RNA of Dreissena polymorpha, 473 nucleotides long. RefSeq lists it as uncharacterized. The record is from RefSeq and is a predicted model, not a curated record. The transcript has 3 exons. Lineage: Eukaryota; Metazoa; Mollusca; Bivalvia; Myida; Dreissenidae.